GCUUACGGCCACACCGCCCCCUGGUUCACGCCCGAUCUCGUUUGAUCUCGGAAGCUAAGAUAGGUUGGGCCUGGUUAGUACUUGGAUGGGAGACCCGCCUGGGAAUACCAGGUGCUGUAAGCU
RNAcentral lists this ribosomal RNA (123 nucleotides) under Scophthalmus maximus (turbot). The record is from RNAcentral. Lineage: Eukaryota; Metazoa; Chordata; Actinopteri; Pleuronectiformes; Scophthalmidae.